RNAcentral lists this ribosomal RNA (385 nucleotides) under uncultured bacterium. Its description in RNAcentral is "bacterial SSU rRNA". It matches the Rfam family "Bacterial small subunit ribosomal RNA", at positions 30 to 416 of the family's 1533-position model. The record is from RNAcentral.
AUUGAACGCUGGCGGCAUGCCUUACACAUGCAAGUCGAACGGCAGCACGGGAGCAAUCCUGGUGGCGAGUGGCGAACGGGUGAGUAAUGUAUCGGAACGUGCCCAGUCGUGGGGGAUAACGUAGCGAAAGUUACGCUAAUACCGCAUACGAUCUAUGGAUGAAAGCGGGGGAUCGCAAGACCUCGCGCGAUUGGAGCGGCCGAUAUCAGAUUAGGAGUUGGUGGGGUAAAGGCUCACCAAGCCGACGAUCUGUAGCUGGUCUUAGAGGACGACCAGCCACACUGGGACUUAGACACGGCCCAGACUCCUACGGGAGGCAGCAGUGGGGAAUUUUGGACAAUGGGCGCAAGCCUGAUCCAGCAAUGCCGCGUGCAGGACGAAGGCC